GAUGAACGCUGGCGGCAUGCCUAAUACAUGCAAGUCGAGCGAACGGACGAGAAGCUUGCUUCUCUGAUGUUAGCGGCGGACGGGUGAGUAACACGUGGAUAACCUACCUAUAAGACUGGGAUAACUUCGGGAAACCGGAGCUAAUACCGGAUGAUAUUUUGAACCGCAUGGUUCAAAAGUGAAAGACGGUCUUGCUGUCCCUUAUAGAUGGAUCCGCGCUGGAUUAGCUAGUUGGUAAGGUAACGGCUUACCAAGGCAACGAUGCAUAGCCGACCUGAGAGGGUGAUCGGCCACACUGGAACUGAGACACGGUCCAGACUCCUACGGGAGGCAGCAGUAGGGAAUAUUCCGCAAUGGGCGAAAGCCUGAUGGAGCAACGCCGCGUGAGUGAAGAAGGUCUUCGGAUCGUAAAACUCUGUUAUUAGGGAAGAACAUAUGUGUAAGUAAAUGUGCAUAUCUUGACGGUACCUAAACAGAAAGCCACGGCUAACUACGUG
Molecule: ribosomal RNA, 497 nt
Filed under: uncultured bacterium
Lineage: Bacteria
Description: partial 16S ribosomal RNA
Rfam family: Bacterial small subunit ribosomal RNA
Source: RNAcentral